RNAcentral lists this ribosomal RNA (497 nucleotides) under uncultured bacterium. RNAcentral describes it as "partial 16S ribosomal RNA". It matches the Rfam family "Bacterial small subunit ribosomal RNA", at positions 28 to 507 of the family's 1533-position model. The record is from RNAcentral.
GAUGAACGCUGGCGGCGUGCCUAAUACAUGCAAGUCGAGCGAACGGACGAGAAGCUUGCGUCUGUGAUGUUAGCGGCGGACGGGUGAGUAACACGUGAAUAACCUAUCUAUAAGACUGGAAUAACUUCGGGAAACCGGAGCUAAUACCGGAUAAUAUUUUGAACCGCAUGGUUCAAAAGUGAAAGACGGGCUUGCUGUCACUUAUAGAUGUAUCCGCGCGGCUUUAGCUAGUUGGUACGGUAACGACCUACCAAGUCAACGAUUCAUAGGCGACCUGAGCGGGGGGUGGGCCACACUGGAGCUGAGACACGGUCCAGACGACUACGGGAGGCAGCAGUAGGGAACCUGCCGCAGUGGGCGAAAGCCUGACGGAGCAAGGCCGAGUGAGUUACGGAGGUCUUCGGAGCGUAAAACUCGGUUAUUAGGGAAGAACAUAUGUGUAAGUAACUGUGCACAUCUUGACGGUACCUAAUCAGAAAGCCACGGCUAACUACGUG